RNAcentral lists this transfer RNA (73 nucleotides) under Caudoviricetes sp. RNAcentral describes it as "tRNA-OTHER". It matches the Rfam family "tRNA". From Rfam's summary of the family: Transfer RNA (tRNA) molecules are approximately 80 nucleotides in length. Their secondary structure includes four short double-helical elements and three loops (D, anti-codon, and T loops). Lineage: Duplodnaviria; Heunggongvirae; Uroviricota; Caudoviricetes. The record is from RNAcentral.
GCCUUGUUAGUUCAAGUGGCAGAACGACGGAACUGUAAACCGCUGAUCGGAGUUCGAUUCUUCGGCAAGGCCA